UACGAAGGGAGCGAGCGUUGUUCGGAUUGACUGGGCGUAAAGGGUGCGUAGGCUGCUAAUUAAGUGAAAUGUGAAAGCCCUAGGCUCAACCUAGGAAGUGCGUUUCAUACUGGUUGGCUAGAGGACAGCAGAGGAAGUGGGAAUUUCUGAUGGAGAGGUGAAAUUCAUAGAUAUCAGAAGGAACACCAAAGGCGAAGGCAAGCUUCUGGGCUGUACCUGACGUUGAGGCACGAAAGCGUGGGGAGCAAACAGGAUUAGAUACCCCGGUAGUCC
This 273-nucleotide ribosomal RNA is filed under the name uncultured bacterium. RNAcentral's name for it is "partial 16S ribosomal RNA". It matches the Rfam family "Bacterial small subunit ribosomal RNA", at positions 524 to 796 of the family's 1533-position model. The record is from RNAcentral.